Molecule: unclassified non-coding RNA, 362 nt
Filed under: fungal sp.
Lineage: Eukaryota; Fungi
Description: partial internal transcribed spacer region
Rfam family: Eukaryotic small subunit ribosomal RNA (bases 1-46)
Source: RNAcentral
AAGUCGUAACAAGGUAACCGUAGGUGAACCUGCGGUUGGAUCAUUAAUGAAUUUUAAAGGGUGUUUCAAACUCUAGUAGUUUGACAUUCUUGAAUAGGUUUUGACGUUUUUUUCUGGAGUAGAUGUAAGUCUAUGACAAAAAAGACUGAAAAAACCGACUACCUUGUGUGAACUGUUGAAUGUCUCUGGCAAGAUCACUUUUAAAGAGUGACUCGACUUGCUCACCUAGUGAGUAGUCGUUUCCUAUUUUACAGUGAAAACUUGUCAGUCACUUUACUAAAACAUUGUUUAUAAAACUUGGUUUGAUCAUUAUCAUAUACAAUGAAAAAUGACAACUUUUGACAACGGAUCUCUUGGCUCUC